UACUCUCACACUUCCGAUCUUGCAUUGGGAGCGGUGGACUUGGGUUUGCUGCUUUACCGUAGCUUACCUCAAAUGGGUUAGUGCAGCUCUUGGUUGGACAUAGUACGGCGUGAUAAGUAUCUUCGCUGGUGCCUCGCAAGAGGGUGGCCGAUCGGGAUGUUGUGCUCCAAACCGUCUUCGGACAAUCUCUGACA
RNAcentral lists this unclassified non-coding RNA (194 nucleotides) under uncultured Sebacina. RNAcentral's name for it is "sequence contains ITS2". The record is from RNAcentral. Lineage: Eukaryota; Fungi; Basidiomycota; Agaricomycetes; Sebacinales; Sebacinaceae.